RNAcentral lists this ribosomal RNA (554 nucleotides) under Haloferax prahovense. RNAcentral's name for it is "bacterial SSU rRNA". It matches the Rfam family "Archaeal small subunit ribosomal RNA", at positions 303 to 851 of the family's 1478-position model. The record is from RNAcentral. Lineage: Archaea; Methanobacteriati; Methanobacteriota; Halobacteria; Halobacteriales; Haloferacaceae.
CCCCGCGCCCGUUCCNCCGCCCCCNCCCGACGGGGUGCAGCAGGCGCGAAACCUUUACACUGCACGCAAGUGCGAUAAGGGGACCCCAAGUGCGAGGGCAUAUAGUCCUCGCUUUUCNCGACUGUAAGGCGGUCGUGGAAUAAGAGCUGGGCAAGACCGGUGCCAGCCGCCGCGGUAAUACCGGCAGCUCAAGUGAUGACCGAUAUUAUUGGGCCUAAAGCGUCCGUAGCCGGCCACGAAGGUUCAUCGGGAAAUCCGCCAGCUCAACUGGCGGGCGUCCGGUGAAAACCACGUGGCUUGGGACCGGAAGGCUCGAGGGGUACGUCCGGGGUAGGAGUGAAAUCCCGUAAUCCUGGACGGACCACCGAUGGCGAAAGCACCUCGAGAAGACGGAUCCGACGGUGAGGGACGAAAGCUAGGGUCUCGAACCGGAUUAGAUACCCGGGUAGUCCUAGCUGUAAACGAUGCUCGCUAGGUGUGACACAGGCUACGAGCCUGUGUUGUGCCGUAGGGAAGCCGAGAAGCGAGCCGCCUGGGAAGACUCCGCAAGAUNA